Molecule: transfer RNA, 66 nt
Filed under: Hirtodrosophila subflavohalterata
Lineage: Eukaryota; Metazoa; Arthropoda; Insecta; Diptera; Drosophilidae
Description: tRNA-Phe
Source: RNAcentral
AUUUAAAUAGCUUAUAAAUAGAGUAUUACACUGAAGAUGUAAGGGAGAUAAAAUUAUCUUUAAAUA